CGCGUGCAGGAUGAAGGCUUCGGGUUGUAAACUGCUUUUGUACGGAACGAAACGGUUCGCCUUAAUACGGCGGGCUAAUGACGGUACCGUAAGAAUAAGCACCGGCUAACUACGUGCCAGCAGCCGCGGUAAUACGUAGGGUGCGAGCGUUAAUCGGAAUUACUGGGCGUAAAGCGUGCGCAGGCGGUUAUGCAAGACAGAUGUGAAAUCCCCGGGCUCAACCUGGGACCUGCAUUUGUGACUGCAUAGCUAGAGUACGGUAGAGGGGGAUGGAAUUCCGCGUGUAGCAGUGAAAUGCGUAGAUAUGCGGAGGAAACACCGAUGGCGAAGCAAUCCCCUGGACCUGUACUGACGCUCAUGCACGAAACGUGGGGAGCAAACAGGAUUAGAUACCCUGGUAGUCCACGCCCUAACGAUGUCACUGGUUGUUGGGUCUUCCUGACUCA
This 446-nucleotide ribosomal RNA is filed under the name uncultured bacterium. Its description in RNAcentral is "bacterial SSU rRNA". It matches the Rfam family "Bacterial small subunit ribosomal RNA", at positions 398 to 842 of the family's 1533-position model. The record is from RNAcentral.